AAAUUUUCCCGACAUUUACAAACAUCUAAAUUUGUUUUUGGUAGUUUAAAUAUAGGGUUUUUGACUUGAUAUUCGUGAAAUCGUUAUAGUUUGUGUUCAAUUUGGUUCAUCGGUCUUUGGUUUUUGCUGCUUUACUUUUCCAAUCUUACAAAGGCCUCUUUUAAUGCAUAUAUCCUCCUAUAUUUUAAUAAAUUGUAAUGGAACACCGUGUAGUUUUUAAAAUUUUUAAAUUCCUAGCAGCUUUACUAUACAGGUAGACUGAUCGAAAAGCAGUUGGUAAUAUAGGAAGAAACAACAAUGCUAGGGGCUUAUAUUGUUCGUGUAUUUCUGGUGCUUCUUUUAUUGUUUUAUGCAUUUCUUGAUGGUUUGUUCAAUAUCAGGUAACUCUUGUACCUACAGCGAAUGGGAGAAAAUGAACUGACAUAAUAAUUUUUUCCACGUUCUUCAUGUUUUAAACAACGGAACGUUUAAACAAUUUACUCUAAAGAAGGAAGAAGGUAGUAUGACCACCAGCAAAUGGAAUACUAAUUACCACGGCCAACCCGUAUGUGGACUCAAUUUGGGUCAAGGGUAUAGGUGAAAGACAAAUUGAAGUAGACAAGACAAUUUUACAUACUGAAGUACGCAAUUUUCAUUUAUCAACAUAAAUUAUGCAUGUCUGUAGUGGUAAGUAACUUUCUGUCUAGUUCAUAUUUAAGUAGAGCUACAUAUCAACCCUCUAUAUUUAUUAACUUUCUGGUCAAUUGUAGAGGUUGGAUUGUGGUGUGAGUAAUAUUUUGAUCAUUAGUUCUCAGACCUAAUUUUUUGCCUGUGAUAGUUUUCAAUUUGUUACUGGUUUUAGUGAUAUUUCAAGUGGCCUUUGUAUGUGCCUUUGGCCUUCCCAAAUUUCAACAGCAAAAUGCUUCUUGCGAGCACCACCACACCAAAUUUCAUUGAGAUGAGAUACUAAAUUCACCUAUGCACUACUGAUAGAGUAAAUGAUCUCGCAAGUAGCUUUGAAACCUUUUGAUUAGUAACCGUUGUCUUUAACUAAGUACUGUAAGAAAGUGCAGCAGAGUAUCUACUCCAUCUACUCUUGAGAUUGGAAGUGUUUCACGAUAUAAAUCUAGAUUGCUGUUGGAUAAUUGCAUUUUCAUAUCUACCAGGUGUGCAUGUGUGUAUGAAAUAUGUGCCUCAUUUUAGAAGAAUCUUGAGGCUAGCGAGCUAUAUGUAAAUUUUAUAUAUGACCCAUUUAUUCAUGGGGUUUGGAUGAAAGCUCACCUCUUCUGGGAUUAAACUCAAGUCUACGCAUGACUAUUGCAGGACAGUAAUAAGCGUGGGUCGAGGGUACGACGAAGGGUCUUCCCGUUAAUAUUGACUGUUUUACGGGCAAAAUGAUAUCCUUCUCUUCCCUUAUAUUGAGCCAUCUUUUGGGAAACCAAAAGCCCACUGUUCAUCCUCUUCCAUUUAUUUGCUCUUCUUCUUAGUUUUACAAGGUUUUCUUCCAAAAUUCUAAAUCAGAAUUCCAAGUCGACUCUACUGAUUGUGCGUUUUUUAGGAUAAUUUUAAAUUCCCUUAAAAACUUUACAACCAGUCAACCACACAGAAGUAACUGCUAAACACCUCUAUGAAGGUCGACUCUUUGGUAAAGAUUGAUUGUUUCAACUGGGUUCUUCAUGUGUGGGUGCUUUGGAAGAUUCAAGAUUAAUUUUUGUGUGAAGAUUUUGAUGGGUUAUUCUCAGGUCUUCAACCAACAACAACAAAAAUGUCAGUGACAAAUUCCAUCAUGCUUCAUAGUUCACAAUGUGCCAAAAUUUGCAAUCGGGAUCCAUCACAAGGUUUAAGAUCCAGAGCUUCAAAAUAUGCAUGGUCGGUGACAGACUGGAUACGGAUAUACUGUUUGGACAAAGUGGUGGCUCCAAAACUCUUCUUGUUCUUUCAGGUGUGACGUCUUUAUCGAUGCCUCAAGAUCCCAAAAUCUCUAUACAACCGGAUUUCUACCCCAACAAGAUUUCUGAUUUCCUCUCUAUCACAGCAGUUGCAGUUUGAGCCGGUCCACUAACAAUCUCUAGAUGAUUGCUGAGAUGGAAUUUAUGAAGGAGGAGAAGUGCUAAACAUGAAAGACAGUCUUUGUUUUAAGCUGUAUUUGAUUAUAGGAUAACUUGGUUAACAUAUUGUACAUAAAUAUAGCUUCGUUGUCCCAUUUUUGUAGCCAUGAAUAAGCUAAUACAACUCUUCAAUGGGGUGAUGUGAUACCAAGAGGCAACAAAAAAUAUUUUGAAAGUUUAGAAAUGUGAUUUGUGGUCUUCAUAAAUAUGCCUCCAGGAAGGUAAAAGGAAGAGAUCCAAAAGGACUCCGCAAAAUGCACAAUGUUCAACAAAAAUCAAAGAAGAUACAAACAGGAGUAAGAGUGGAUGAGGUAAAUACAAUUAAAAAUCAUAUUCUGGAGAUGCGAGCAGCAGAAGGAACAGUAGUUAAGGAAGGUUAACUUUCUAUCCUUCAACUAUGCCUACUGAUCUACUGUAUUCAUCAGUUUUGCUACCUAAAGUGUACCAAUAGCGCGGUGCUUGUGUCAUGUCAAUAUUAGCUUUCGGCGGAGACUGAUUUGAUUCUUCUUGUUUGGGGGGAAUUAAGGAUUAAGGGGAUUUAAGAUUUGUUGUUUCAAGGAAAUUACCUGAAAGAGGUUGAAAGAUAUGUACUAAAAUAAUUGUGCAGGUUUAUUUUUGAUGUGAAAUUUUCAUGUUUCUUUGGAUGUGUCCAUGUAAAGCAUUAACUAUUAUUUGAUCCUUUCCAAGUGUCAACUAUGUAUGAUAAACAUGGGAAACAAACCACGAGCCCGAGAGGUGGUGGGAAGACAAAAGGGACGUAUUAUGACAGAUUAGAGGAUACAAUACACAUAAAUGCAUUCCAUUUGCUUAUCUUGAUUAUCCUUUGAACGACUACUUUGAACGACUACUUGGAUAUUCUUCACAAACUAUUUAGAGAAGGGGUUUGUUAUCGUGGUCUUAUGCUCAUGAAAAAGACAUGCAUAGUUCUUGACCCUUAAUAGCCAGCUUCGGCCUGCCGGAUGUUGACAGGUGUCCUCAUUUCUACUAUUUCAGAAUGUUUGGCCAGUUGGCUUAAAUUAUAAUUUACGAAAUUCAAAGAUAUUCUAAUUAAUGGUAUAGCUGGAGAGCAAGAAGAGAGUGGAUAAUACUAAAUUAGCAUCUGCUAUUGAGGGAUAACGUUCAUUCACUAUAGUUGUGUUAAUGAAAUGUGAUUUAGGUAGCCAAGUUUUCCUUGGGCAAGGCAUAUUGCGAAGGCUUACAUUUUCACUAUCGGUCUUUUGAUAUCUUCCUUAAUAGAGGCUCAUAUAUUUUCUCCAACCUUAUGUUUCUUAAAAUCGGAAAAGGUCAGAGUGGUGAGGCAGGGUGAAAGAUUAUCUACCAAAGCUCAGAGAAAGAUGAUGUCUUAUACUGGAGCUUCGAAAUUUGCCCUUGAAAUUUAGAAUUACUGCAACACUCAUGGUAGUAGUAUGAAUUGUUAUUAUGUCGUACAUGUAAUUGGUUUUGACAAUACGCUUGAAAUGAGUAUACAAAUAUUUUUCCGUCUUGAACCUUUCAAGUCAUUUUGUAGCUGGAGGUUGCAAACAA
Long non-coding RNA from Lycium barbarum (goji berry), 3611 nucleotides. RefSeq lists it as uncharacterized. The record is from RefSeq and is a predicted model, not a curated record. The transcript has 9 exons. NCBI's taxonomy places the organism in Eukaryota, Viridiplantae, Streptophyta, Magnoliopsida, Solanales, Solanaceae.